AUUGAACGCUGGCGGCAUGCUUUACACAUGCAAGUCGAACGGCAGCGCGGGCUUCGGCCUGGCGGCGAGUGGCGAACGGGUGAGUAAUGCAUCGGAACGUGCCCAGUAGUGGGGGAUAGCCCGGCGAAAGCCGGAUUAAUACCGCAUACGACCUGAGGGUGAAAGCGGGGGACCGAAGGGCCUCGCGCUAUUGGAGCGGCCGAUGUCGGAUUAGCUAGUUGGUGGGGUAAAGGCUUACCAAGGCGACGAUCCGUAGCUGGUCUGAGAGGACGACCAGCCACACUGGGACUGAGACACGGCCCAGACUCCUACGGGAGGCAGCAGUGGGGAAUGUUGGACAAUGGGGGCAACCCUGAUCCAGCCAUGCCGCGUGCGGGAAGAAGGCCUUCGGGUUGUAAACCGCUUUUGUUCGGGAAGAAAUCCUCUGGGCUAAUACCCCGGGGGGAUGACGGUACCGGAAGAAUAAGCACCGGCUAACUACGUG
This 484-nucleotide ribosomal RNA is filed under the name uncultured bacterium. RNAcentral describes it as "partial 16S ribosomal RNA". It matches the Rfam family "Bacterial small subunit ribosomal RNA", at positions 28 to 507 of the family's 1533-position model. The record is from RNAcentral.